UACGUAGGGUGCGAGCGUUAAUCGGAAUUACUGGGCGUAAAGCGUGCGCAGGCGGUGAUGUAAGACCGAUGUGAAAUCCCCGGGCUUAACCUGGGAACUGCAUUGGUGACUGCAUCGCUCGAGUAUGGCAGAGGGGGGUAGAAUUCCACGUGUAGCAGUGAAAUGCGUAGAGAUGUGGAGGGAUACCGAUGGCGAAGGCAGCCCCCUGGGUCAAUACUGACGCUCAUGCACGAAAGCGUGGGGAGCAAACAGG
RNAcentral lists this ribosomal RNA (253 nucleotides) under uncultured bacterium. RNAcentral describes it as "partial 16S ribosomal RNA". It matches the Rfam family "Bacterial small subunit ribosomal RNA", at positions 524 to 776 of the family's 1533-position model. The record is from RNAcentral.